This 462-nucleotide ribosomal RNA is filed under the name uncultured bacterium. Its description in RNAcentral is "partial 16S ribosomal RNA". It matches the Rfam family "Bacterial small subunit ribosomal RNA", at positions 31 to 507 of the family's 1533-position model. The record is from RNAcentral.
AGAGAACGCUGGCGGCGUGCCUAAUACAUGCAAGUCGAACGGAGAUUAAGUAGCUUGCUAUUUAAUCUUAGUGGCGCACGGGUGAGUAAUAUAUAGCUAACUUGCCCAUUACUAAGGGACAACAGUUGGAAACGACUGCUAAUACCUUAUACUCCGUAUCUAUAUAAGUAGAUACGGGAAAGUUUUUCGGUAAUGGAUAGGGCUAUAUCGUAUCAGCUAGUUGGUAAGGUAAUGGCUUACCAAGGCUAUGACGCGUAACUGGUCUGAGAGGAUGAUCAGUCACACUGGAACUGAGACACGGUCCAGACUCCUACGGGAGGCAGCAGUAGGGAAUAUUGCUCAAUGGGGGAAACCCUGAAGCAGCAACGCCGCGUGGAGGAUGACACUUUUCGGAGCGUAAACUCCUUUUCUUGGGAAAGAAUUAUGACGGUACCCAAGGAAUAAGCACCGGCUAACUCCGUG